Molecule: ribosomal RNA, 292 nt
Filed under: uncultured Alphaproteobacteria bacterium
Lineage: Bacteria; Pseudomonadati; Pseudomonadota; Alphaproteobacteria
Description: partial 16S ribosomal RNA
Source: RNAcentral
GGACUACAGGGGUUUCUAAUCCUGUUUGCUCCCCACGCUUUCGUGUCUCAGUGUCAGUUACAGGCCAGUGAGCCGCCUUCGCCACUGGUGUUCCUCCCAAUAUCUACGAAUUUUACCUCUACACUGGGAAUUCCACUCACCUCUCCUGUACUCAAGCUUAGUAGUCUCAAAAGCAAUUCCCAGGUUGAGCCUGGGGAUUUCACUCCUGACGUACUAAGCCACCUACACACCCUUUACGCCCAGUAAUUCCGAACAACGCUAGCCCCCUUCGUAUUACCGCGGCUGCUGGCAC